RNAcentral lists this transfer RNA (89 nucleotides) under Patescibacteria group bacterium. Its description in RNAcentral is "tRNA-Ser". It matches the Rfam family "tRNA". Rfam says of the family: Transfer RNA (tRNA) molecules are approximately 80 nucleotides in length. Their secondary structure includes four short double-helical elements and three loops (D, anti-codon, and T loops). The record is from RNAcentral.
CAUCGGAUGACUGAGGGGUUUAAGGUGUCUGACUUGAAAUCAGAAGUAGCACUAAAAAACUACCGUGAGUUCGAAUCUCACUCCGGCGU